This is a long non-coding RNA of Passer domesticus (house sparrow), 4423 nucleotides long. RefSeq lists it as uncharacterized. NCBI's taxonomy places the organism in Eukaryota, Metazoa, Chordata, Aves, Passeriformes, Passeridae. The transcript is spliced from 3 exons. The record is from RefSeq and is a predicted model, not a curated record.
ACUGCAGAGCACCAUGGAUCCAAGGGACCAUUGUGACAUUGUGCAGCCUCACAGAACCAAGGACAUCAGUGUAGCUCUGUUGAGCCGCAUGAUCCCAAGGGGCCAGUGUGAAGCAGCAGGGCUUUGUGGAACCAAGAGGCCAUUGUUGCAUUUCAGGGCCUCAUGGAGCCAAAGGGCCGUUGUGAUCCUGUGGGGCACCAUGGAUCCAUGGAGACCAUUGUGGCACUGCAAGGCCCCAUGGAAUCAUUGCGACACUCUGGGGCCCCAGGGAACCAAAGAGCCAUUGUGACCCUGCAGGGCCUCAUGGAGGGAAGGGGUCAUUGUGACACUGUGGGAAGCUGUGGAACCAUUGUUGCACUACUGGGCCCCAACAGAACCAAGGGACCAUGGUGACACAGCAGGGCUUCAUGGAACACAAACACCAUUAUGACACUGUGGGGCCUUUUGGAACCAUGGAGACCAAUAAGAUCCUUAAGCACUUGUGAAACCAAGGGGCCAUUAUAAUGCCACAGGACAUCAUGGAAGCAAGAGAACCACUGUGAUGUUGCAAGACUUCAUGGAAGCAUAGAGCCCUUGUGACACUGCAGGGCCCUAUGGAACCAAGAGAACACAAAAUAGGUCUGGCUGCCUUGGCCUCCCAGGAGUCACCUGACAGGUCUGGCAGACCUUGGAAUGUGGAAGGCCACUCCCAUCUGCCCCUGAAACACUGGGGAUCUUGGCUUUCCUUUGUACGGAAAAGAACUGUCCAUCUCUUCCAGGUAUCCAUGGCCAAAAUUAGGAUUCCACCUCCAAAUUUCUGUGUAUCCAAGGAUUGCUGCCAGAGAAAAGCUGCCAGGACAGACAGGUCUGGCUGGUCUUUAACUCCUGAGUGCCAGCACUGACCUGUUUUCUAAACACUGGAAAGGGCUCUAUGCUUUUCUUUUUGUGGAAAAAAAUCCUCCUUCUCCAGGCACAAAUGGCUAAAAUUAAUAUUCCACAUUCAUAAUUUUGAAUAUCCAAGGGUUGCUCCCAGACAAAGCUGCCAGGACAGACAGGUCAGGCUUGCCUUGGCCUCUGGUGGCUGCCGUUCAUCAGCUCCUGAAACAUGGGGGUUCUGUGGUUUCCUUCUUAUGAAGACCAAUGUGACACCUUGUGGCCUUGUGAAAUGCAGGGGCAUUGUGACACUGCAGAGCACCAUGGAUCCAAGGGACCAUUGUGACACUCUGGAGCCUCACGGAACCAAGGACAUCACUGUGGCUCUGUUGGGGCCCAUGGUCCCAAGGGGCCAGUGUGAAGCAGCAGUGUGGGAGUUAGCCCGGCUGUAACUCAGAGUCAGCCAGAUUUUGUCCUGGAAGAACCAGGCCUUCACUCUUAAGUCAGGGAACCAGAGAGGUUUGUCUCAGCCACCCUCACUGUGACAUCUGGCCCCUGAGCAGGACCCUGACAUUCAGUUGUGUCAGCUGGGGUUAGCUGAGAGAUAGGCCAGUGCUCCCUGGGAUUGUGGAUUGUGCCUGGCCCAGUGGAUUUCCCAUCACUUCGAGGGACCUGAGCCAGAAUUGGUGGGGACGAUGACGGUUUCCUCCUGUGGAGGAUUGCAGGUGGGUUUGGGAAAAUGCAGGACAUUUAUCACCUAUUUUGCCACUGUGUUUUUAAAAUAUGGAUCCACAUCCCAUAAUUGAUUUGGGGCGUUCCAGUGGCUGUUCCCCCCAAGGCGGAGAAGUGAGAAAAAUGCAUGGUCAGAUGUCCAAAGAGGAAAGGAGCUUAUAUGGACACUUUAAGUUAAUUCUCACUGAUCAUGACAAAAUAUUUUUAAAGGGUGAAUUAAAAUCAAUUGUGAGGUGAAUCAUUAAAAAAUUUUCUAGUCACCUCUGCUGACAAAAUCCAUACCACUGAAUUUUGAGACUCUGUGGGAUUUAAAUUGUACAACCUUUCAAUCAAAAGGGACCCCAUUGCACCCCGGAUGCUCCCCUUCUUCCACACCAUCCUUGAGACCCUUCACCAGCAAGCCGUGUGUCGAAAACUUGAUCCAUCAGUCACUCCUAACCUGGGACCUCUCCUGAAACCUGCCUUUCCUGGACUUUCCAUGAUGGUCCAAAAUGGCAAUGGCCACGCUGUCUUGGAGCAUUGUGCCCUGGAGACCCAAGAUGGAAGAAGCCCGAAUGUGGCUCGGGAGCCUGGCCAUCCUCCCUCCAUCUUGGGUCCUCCAUUUCCUGCUACCACAACCUUCUCUUCCACUCUGAAGGAACCUCCAGACUCCACCCCUCUGCCUGCAGGUUGCGCCUCCACUGUCAUUCAUUCCACCUCCACCCUGGGCCACAGCUCCAGAAAAUGACAAAAUGGCAGCGCCCUUUACUCACCCUCCGGCAACAAUAUAAACCCCAUGGUCAAGGAUACUAAGCCAAACUGUCAACCUAUUUCUACUCCAAGUGUUUCUGCUCCAAGUUAUUCUUCCUCCCCAGAAGACAGUUUGGAUUCCCCAGAGCCACCUCUCCCCUCAACCCUAGAAGAUCCCUGGGAAAGGAUCUGGAAGGAACCAGUUAAGGAAGGAGACUGGCAAAUAGUCUUGAAACUCCUCAUUGCCUCAGGACAUUAGGAAAGAAGGGAGCAGAAUCCCAGAAUACACCCUGUGGGAAAGAGGGACGGAAGUGUUUACUAAAUCAAUUAAUAGCAGACUAUGCUAAUAAUGAGGCAAGGGCGCAAUUGACAAUCAGCCAUCUAGCUGGAGAAGGACAACACAGCCUGCCAGAUGAUCAAGCAGCAGGUAUCCCCAGAGAAGUAUUGGACGAUAGAAAAGAGAUGGCUUUGAAAGCUUUGAUCCAGGUACCAGAUGGUAGCACCCCCAGUUUGGAUUAUGUAAACAUAAGACAAGAACCAAGCGAACCCUGCAUGAAAUUUAUUGAUCGCCUUAAACAGGCACUAGAGAAACAAGUCUGGGAUGAAAAGACUCAAAAUGAAUUACUAAACUCAUUGGGGGUAGCCAAUGCCAACCCGGAAUGUAAGAAAGGGCUGCGUGGCCUUCCACUAGAGAUGGAACCCACACUCCUGCAGAUGAUUGAGGCUGUAAUUGCCUCAGGACCACAGAACACAUAGCGGCUGUACAAGCCCAUGCCAUUGGGCAAGGAGUUGCAGAGGCCCUAGUGGCCAUGCCAUUCCCCUUUAAGGGGCCCCAGCAACAAUUACAGGGCCGAAAAAUAUGUUUCUGGUGUGGUCAACAAGGACAUUUUAGAAAAUAUUAUCUCUGGGGUAGGGGGGUAUCCGGUCCCUAACAGAAAUCAACAUCAAACUAAGCACAAUUUCUCAUUUUACAAUGGCCUAGUGCAGGUUGGGAUGAUGAUCCACCCUCACAGCUGGCCCAGGGCAGGCUUGGAGUGGCCUUGGUGGCACCUUGGGCUUGGCACAGACUUGAGGAUGGUCUAUGUUUUCAACAGAGACACUCAAGAGUUUUAGAUUGCUUCAAAGAAUUAAAAAGACAAAAUCCCUCUUUGGCUGUGUGCUGUCAGAUCUCCAAGCAAAGCAGAUCCCAGGUGAGUGAGGAGAGACAGGAUGGGGUUGGAGAAUGUGGAGCAGGGUUGUCAACACUGGGUCAGAGAUCAAGGCACAGCUUCUCUGACCAGGCCAGACCUCCUUAGGAGAGUCCCUGGAUCAAUAUCAGUCACAGAAUGCUUCAAUCACCUCUUGUGUACUAAGAAAAAUAAUAAAAGACAUCCUUGAAAAUAGGAAUACAUAUUUCCUAGAAAAUCUUUGAAAUAUUUCUCCAGCAGGAAAACUUCCUGAUGAACAGCACUAGAGCAGAGGGAAAUCAAGGCAGAGCCAUGGGUUGUCAGGACUUGCUUGAGGCUAAUAAGCCUCAUGGUGCAUUUGGAGCUGAGCCCUGGAACCUCAGGCCCUGAGAGGAUAUUGCACAAACCUGUCCAGAAGUCAAAGUCAGAAGAAAACCCCGAAGUUUGUCAAGGCAUGAAUAGGUCCUACUGAGGUCCAUCCCCAAUACAGACUGAUCAUGGACUCCUUGGAGGAGAGAAUUGGAGGCCAGGAUGCCACAAAAACCUGUCAGAGACUCAGUGUGAAAAGGAAAAUCCAAAGUACUUUAAAAACCUUGAGUAUCUCAAAGUAUUAAUGAGCCCAAUUGGGUGUCAGUGCAAAGCUCUCAAGGGACUCAUUAAAGCAGAUAAUUGGGGCCAUGAUUGCACAAACCUCUCCCAAAGUCUGUAUCAAAAGGGAAACACCAAGUACCUUCAAAUAACUGAAGUACCCUGAAGCAUUAAUGAGCCCCAUGGAGUGUUGUUACUGACAAAGCCUCUCCAGGGACUAAUUACAGCAGAUAAUUGGAGCCCAUGAUUGCACAAGCCUCUCAGAAAGUCAAGGUAAAAGCAAAAGCCUAAGUCCUUUGAAAAACCUGCAGUCCCUGGGAGCAUGAAGGAUCCCCCAGGGCCAUUGCUGAGCAAGG